UACGGAGGGUGCAAGCAUUAAUCGGAUUUAUUGGGCGUAAAGGGCGCGUAGGCGGGGAUGUCAGUCAGAUGUGAAAUCCCGGGGCUCAACCUCGGAACAGCAUUUGAAACUACAUCUCUUGAGGGUAGGCGGAGAAAACGGAAUUCCACAAGUAGCGGUGAAAUGCGUAGAUAUGUGGAAGAACACCGGUGGCGAAGGCGGUUUUCUAGCUUACUCCUGACGCUAAAGCGCGAAAGCAAGGGGAUCAAAC
RNAcentral lists this ribosomal RNA (250 nucleotides) under uncultured bacterium. RNAcentral's name for it is "partial 16S ribosomal RNA". It matches the Rfam family "Bacterial small subunit ribosomal RNA", at positions 524 to 773 of the family's 1533-position model. The record is from RNAcentral.